AUUUAUGUAGUUUAUAAAAACAUUACAUUUUCACUGUAAAAAUAAAAGUCUCUUUUCAUAAAUA
This 64-nucleotide transfer RNA is filed under the name Blattella vaga (field cockroach). RNAcentral describes it as "tRNA-Glu". It matches the Rfam family "tRNA". Rfam says of the family: Transfer RNA (tRNA) molecules are approximately 80 nucleotides in length. Lineage: Eukaryota; Metazoa; Arthropoda; Insecta; Blattodea; Blattellidae. The record is from RNAcentral.